RNAcentral lists this ribosomal RNA (991 nucleotides) under human gut metagenome. RNAcentral's name for it is "bacterial LSU rRNA". It matches the Rfam family "Bacterial large subunit ribosomal RNA", at positions 1639 to 2641 of the family's 2925-position model. The record is from RNAcentral.
UACCCGUACCGUAAACCGACACAGGUGGAUGAGGAGAGAAUCCUAAGGCCGACGGGAGAAGCAUUGUUAAGGAACUCGGCAAAAUGACUCCGUAACUUCGGGAGAAGGAGUGCCAGUGAGAGCUGGCCGCAGAGAAUUGGCCCAAGCAACUGUUUAGCAAAAACACAGGUCUAUGCAAAACCGAAAGGUGAAGUAUAUGGGCUGACGCCUGCCCGGUGCUGGAAGGUUAAGGGGAGAGGUUAGCGCAAGCGAAGCUUUGAACUUAAGCCCCAGUAAACGGCGGCCGUAACUAUAACGGUCCUAAGGUAGCGAAAUUCCUUGUCGGGUAAGUUCCGACCCGCACGAAAGGCGUAAUGAUUUGGGCACUGUCUCAACAAUGCACCCGGUGAAAUUGAAAUACCAGUGAAGAUGCUGGUUACCUGCGCCAGGACGGAAAGACCCCAUGGAGCUUUACUCCAGCUUGAUACUGGGAUUCGGUAUUGCAUGUACAGGAUAGGUGGGAGGCUAGGAAAUGGUAACGCCAGUUGCCAUGGAGCCGCUGUUGGGAUACCACCCUUGCAGUAUUGGAUUUCUAACCAGCAGCCGUGAACCGGCUGGGGGACAAUGUCAGGUGGGGAGUUUGACUGGGGCGGUCGCCUCCGAAAGGGUAUCGGAGGCGCUCAAAGGUUCCCUCAGAAUGGUUGGAAACCAUUCGAAGAGUGCAAAGGCAGAAGGGAGCUUGACUGCGACACCGACGGGUGGAGCAGGUACGAAAGUAGGACUUAGUGAUCCGGUGGUAUAAAGUGGGAUUGCCAUCGCUCAACGGAUAAAAGCUACCCUGGGGAUAACAGGCUUAUCACUCCCAAGAGUUCACAUCGACGGAGUGGUUUGGCACCUCGAUGUCGGCUCAUCGCAUCCUGGGGCUGAAGUAGGUCCCAAGGGUUGGGCUGUUCGCCCAUUAAAGCGGUACGCGAGCUGGGUUCAGAACGUCGUGAGACAGUUCGGUCCCUAU